UUUAACCUUCGGGAGGGCGCUUACCACUUUGUGAUUCAUGACUGGGGUGAAGUCGUAACAAGGUAACCGUAGGGGAACCUGCGGUUGGAUCACCUCCUUACCUUAAAGAAGC
Molecule: ribosomal RNA, 112 nt
Filed under: Escherichia coli
Lineage: Bacteria; Pseudomonadati; Pseudomonadota; Gammaproteobacteria; Enterobacterales; Enterobacteriaceae
Description: partial 16S ribosomal RNA
Rfam family: Bacterial small subunit ribosomal RNA (bases 1-100)
Source: RNAcentral